UGAGCUCAGGCAAGACUACCCGCUGAACUUAAGCAUAUCAAUAAGCGGAGGAAGUCC
RNAcentral lists this ribosomal RNA (57 nucleotides) under Meyerella planktonica. RNAcentral's name for it is "partial 26S ribosomal RNA". Lineage: Eukaryota; Viridiplantae; Chlorophyta; Trebouxiophyceae; Chlorellales; Chlorellaceae. The record is from RNAcentral.